Molecule: ribosomal RNA, 655 nt
Filed under: Aspergillus awamori
Lineage: Eukaryota; Fungi; Ascomycota; Eurotiomycetes; Eurotiales; Aspergillaceae
Description: SSU rRNA
Rfam family: Eukaryotic small subunit ribosomal RNA
Source: RNAcentral
UGUAUUUAUUAGAUAAAAAACCAAUGCCCUUCGGGGCUCCUUGGUGAAUCAUAAUAACUUAACGAAUCGCAUGGCCUUGCGCCGGCGAUGGUUCAUUCAAAUUUCUGCCCUAUCAACUUUCGAUGGUAGGAUAGUGGCCUACCAUGGUGGCAACGGGUAACGGGGAAUUAGGGUUCGAUUCCGGAGAGGGAGCCUGAGAAACGGCUACCACAUCCAAGGAAGGCAGCAGGCGCGCAAAUUACCCAAUCCCGACACGGGGAGGUAGUGACAAUAAAUACUGAUACGGGGCUCUUUUGGGUCUCGUAAUUGGAAUGAGUACAAUCUAAAUCCCUUAACGAGGAACAAUUGGAGGGCAAGUCUGGUGCCAGCAGCCGCGGUAAUUCCAGCUCCAAUAGCGUAUAUUAAAGUUGUUGCAGUUAAAAAGCUCGUAGUUGAACCUUGGGUCUGGCUGGCCGGUCCGCCUCACCGCGAGUACUGGUCCGGCUGGACCUUUCCUUCUGGGGAAUCUCAUGGCCUUCACUGGCUGUGGGGGGAACCAGGACUUUUACUGUGAAAAAAUUAGAGUGUUCAAAGCAGGCCUUUGCUCGAAUACAUUAGCAUGGAAUAAUAGAAUAGGACGUGCGGUUCUAUUUUGUUGGUUUCUAGGACCGCCGUA